Molecule: ribosomal RNA, 626 nt
Filed under: uncultured fungus
Lineage: Eukaryota; Fungi
Description: eukaryotic LSU rRNA
Rfam family: 5.8S ribosomal RNA (bases 203-356)
Source: RNAcentral
UCUAGGGAGCAUGUGCACACUUGUCAUCUUUAUAUCUCCACAUGUGCACCUCUUGUAGACUUUGGAUAUCUUUCUGAAUGGCUAAUUCAGGUUUUGAGGAUUGACUUUUUGGUCUCUCCUUACAUUUCCAAACCUAUGUUCCUUCAUCUACACUAUGUUAUAGAAUGUAAUAAAUAGGCCUUUUUUGCCUAUAAACCUAUACGGGGUUCGGCAACGGAUCUCUUGGCUCUCGCAUCGAUGAAGAACGCAGCGAAAUGCGAUAAGUAAUGUGAAUUGCAGAAUUCAGUGAAUCAUCGAAUCUUUGAACGCACCUUGCACUCCUUGGUAUUCCGAGGAGUAUGCCUGUUUGAGGGGCAUUAAUAUAUCAACCUCUUCAAGCUUUUUUGCCUGUGGAGUGUUUGGAUUUGGGGGUUGUGCUGGUCUUGUUUUUUUUCUGAGGUCAGCUCCCCUGAAAUGUAUUAGCAGAACAAUUUGUUGACUGUUCAUUGAUGUGAUAACUAUCUACAUUAUUGACGGUGACGCAGUAGUUCAGCUUCUUAACAGUCCAUUGACUUGGACAAAUUUUCAUUAAUGUGACCUCAAAUCAGGUAGGACUACCCGCUGAACUUAAGCAUAUCAAUAAGCGG